This 504-nucleotide small RNA is filed under the name Pongo abelii (Sumatran orangutan). RNAcentral's name for it is "processed transcript". The record is from RNAcentral. Lineage: Eukaryota; Metazoa; Chordata; Mammalia; Primates; Hominidae.
CUGUCCUCAGCCUUCCCCGUGGGAUCGGCUGGUUCUCCACGAGUUCCGAGCAGAAGAGGGGCCGGCGUUUAAGUCAAAGGCCUUGGGGCUCCGAGUCCGUUCGUCUCCCGUCCUGUGAAGGCGCGACCCAGUUCACAUGUCUGUAAAGUGAAGCCAUUAGUCCCUGCUUCGUGGUGAGAAAACUGGAAGGCGGAACGAGGAGGCCGCCGGUCCCAACCCGGCCCAGGAGCAUCUUUCUUCGCAGACCGUUUCCUGGCGAGAGGAGAAGCGCAUCUACCGGGUGCCUGUGUUCACAGCACCCUUCUGCCAGGCCUUGCUGGAAGAGCUGGAGCACUUCGAGCAGUCGGACAUGCCUAAGGGGAGGCCCAACACCAUGAACAACUAUGGGGUGCUGCUGCACGAGCUUGGGCUGGACGAGCCGCUGAUGACACCACUGCGGGAGCGCUUCCUGCAGCCACUGAUGGCCCUGCUGUACCCUGACUGUGGCGGGGGCCGGCUCGACAG